CGACGAAGGACGUUACUAACGACGAUAUGCUUUGGGGAGCUGUAAGUAAGCUUUGAUCCAGAGAUUUCCUAAUGGGGAAACCCAGCACGAGUUAUGUCGUGUUAUCGAUAUGUGAAUACAUAGCAUAUCUGAAGGCAGACGCGGAGAACUGAAACAUCUUAGUACCCGCAGGAAGAGAAAGAAAAAUCGAUUCCCUGAGUAGCGGCGAGCGAAACGGGAAGAGCCCAAACCAACGAGCUUGCUUGUUGGGGUUGUAGGACACUCUAUACGGAGUUACAAAAGAACAGACUAGACGAAUCAUCUGGAAAGAUGAAUCAAAGAAGGUAAUAAUCCUGUAGUCGAAAGUUUGUUCACUCUUGAGUGGAUCCUGAGUACGACGGAACACGAGAAAUUCCGUCGGAAUCUGGGAGGACCAUCUCCCAAGGCUAAAUACUCUCUAGUGACCGAUAGUGAACCAGUACCGUGAGGGAAAGGUGAAAAGUACCCCGGAAGGGGAGUGAAAUAGAACUUGAAACCGUGUGCUUACAAGUAGUCAGAGCCCGUUAAUGGGUGAUGGCGUGCCUUUUGUAGAAUGAACCGGCGAGUUACGAUUUGAUGCAAGGUUAAGCAGUGAAUGUGGAGCCGUAGCGAAAGCGAGUCUGAAUAGGGCGUUGAGUAUUUGGUCGUAGACCCGAAACCAGGUGAUCUACCCAUGACCAGGUUGAAGUUCAGGUAACACUGAAUGGAGGACCGAACCGACUUACGUUGAAAAGUGAGCGGAUGAGUUGUGGGUAGCGGAGAAAUUCCAAUCGAACCUGGAGAUAGCUGGUUCUCUCCGAAAUAGCUUUAGGGCUAGCCUCAAGUGAUGAUUAUUGGAGGUAGAGCACUGUUUGGACGAGGGGCCCUUAUCGGGUUACCGAAUUCAGACAAACUCCGAAUGCCAAUCAAUUUAACUUGGGAGUCAGAACGCGGGUGAUAAGGUCCGUGUUCGAAAGGGAAACAGCCCAGACCACCAGCUAAGGUCCCAAAAUAUAUGUUAAGUGGAAAAGGAUGUGGCGUUGCCCAGACAACUAGGAUGUUGGCUUAGAAGCAGCCAUCAUUUAAAGAGUGCGUAAUAGCUCACUAGUCGAGUGACACUGCGCCGAAAAUGUACCGGGGCUAAACAUAUUACCGAAGCUGUGGAUUGUCCGUAAGGACAAUGGUAGGAGAGCGUUCUAAGGGCGUUGAAGCAUGAUCGCAAGGACAUGUGGAGCGCUUAGAAGUGAGAAUGCCGGUGUGAGUAGCGAAAGACGGGUGAGAAUCCCGUCCACCGAUUGACUAAGGUUUCCAGAGGAAGGCUCGUCCGCUCUGGGUUAGUCGGGUCCUAAGCUGAGGCCGAUAGGCGUAGGCGAUGGAUAACAGGUUGAUAUUCCUGUACCACCAUUAUUCGUUUUAAGCGAUGGGGGGACGCAGUAGGAUAGGCGAAGCGUACGAUUGGAUUGUACGUCCAAGCAGUGAGAUUGAGUGUUAGGCAAAUCCGGCAUUCUUAAGAUUGAGCUGUGAUGGGGAGAGGAAAUUGUUUCCUCGAGUCGUUGAUUUCACAC
Molecule: ribosomal RNA, 1562 nt
Rfam family: Bacterial large subunit ribosomal RNA